RNAcentral lists this ribosomal RNA (468 nucleotides) under uncultured bacterium. Its description in RNAcentral is "partial 16S ribosomal RNA". It matches the Rfam family "Bacterial small subunit ribosomal RNA", at positions 28 to 507 of the family's 1533-position model. The record is from RNAcentral.
GACGAACGCUGGCGGCGUGCUUAACACAUGCAAGUCGAACGGAAAGGCCCUGCUUUUGUGGGGUGCUCGAGUGGCGAACGGGUGAGUAACACGUGAGUAACCUGCCCUUGACUUUGGGAUAACUUCAGGCAACUGGGGCUAAUACCGGAUAGGAGCUCCUGCUGCAUGGGGGGGGUUGGACAGUUUCGGCGGUUGGGGAUGGACUCGCGGCUUAUCAGCUUGUUGGUGGGGUAGUGGCUUACCAAGGCUUUGACGGGUAGCCGGCCUGGGAGGGUGGCCAGCCACAUUGGGACUGCGAGACGGCCCAGACUCCUACGGGAGGCAGCAGGGGGGAAUAUUGUACAAUGGGCCGAAGCGUGAUGCAGCAGCGCCGCGUGCGGAAUGACGGCCUUCGGGUGGUAAACCGCUUUCGCCUGUGACGAAGCGUGAGUGACGGUAAUGGGUAAAGAAGCACCGGCUAACUACGUG